Molecule: ribosomal RNA, 482 nt
Filed under: uncultured bacterium
Lineage: Bacteria
Description: partial 16S ribosomal RNA
Rfam family: Bacterial small subunit ribosomal RNA
Source: RNAcentral
AUUGAACGCUGGCGGCAUGCCUUACACAUGCAAGUCGAACGGUAACGGGCCUUCGGGUGCCGACGAGUGGCGAACGGGUGAGUAAUACAUCGGAACGUGCCCGAUCGUGGGGGAUAACGAGGCGAAAGCUUUGCUAAUACCGCAUACGAUCUACGGAUGAAAGCAGGGGACCGCAAGGCCUUGCGCGGACGGAGCGGCCGAUGGCAGAUUAGGUAGUUGGUGGGAUAAAAGCCUACCAAGCCGACGAUCUGUAGCUGGUCUAAGAGGAUGAUCAGCCACACUGGGACUGAGACACGGCCCAGACUCCUACGGGAGGCAGCAGUGGGGAAUUUUGGACAAUGGGCGCAAGCCUGAUCCAGCCAUGCCGCGUGCAGGAUGAAGGCCUUCGGGUUGUAAACUGCUUUUGUACGGAACGAAAAGCCUUCUUUUAAUACAGGAGGGUCAUGACGGUACCGUAAGAAUAAGCACCGGCUAACUACGUG